UUAACUUAUUCGGUUGUUACUCAGACGCACGGAUGCAGAGUUGUGUGGUCCACCGGGGGCCCCGACGCCCGUGAGGGCCGGGUCGCCCCCGAGGCAACAGAGUCGGAAUUCAAAGGGUUGGAGGUCGGGCCAGAGGCCCUCACUCGGUAAUGAUCCCUCCGCAGGUUCACCUACGGAGA
This 179-nucleotide unclassified non-coding RNA is filed under the name uncultured fungus. Its description in RNAcentral is "sequence contains ITS1". The record is from RNAcentral. Lineage: Eukaryota; Fungi.